AGCCCCUCCCCCGCCCUUCUCUCUUCUUCUCCGGCGAGAAGCGGACGACACCAACGCCGGCGUCGGUCGCCGCCCCCGACCUCCCUCUCCCUGGCCUCUGCUCUCUCUCCCUCGCCCGUCGGUCGCCGCCCCCGACCUCCCUCUCCCUGGCCUCUGCUCUCCCCCCUCUGCUCUCCCUCUCGCCACCGUCGCUUCUCGCCCUUCCGGCCGACGCCGCUUCUCGCCCCUUUGGCCGCCGCUGCCUCUCGCCCCUUUGGCCAAUGCCGCUUCUCGCCCCUUUCUUCUCACCGCGCGAUUUUGGGGGCUAGGGCUGCGAUCGAAGUCAAUUGCAGAAAUUCCAGGCACGGCGCCGCCGCCUCCUUCGGUACACCGGCAAUUCUUGCCACGACCCUUUCGAGUUUCCGCCCUAUUGAGGCCUGGGUCCGCGAUUUGGGGGUGGGUGAAGGAGUAUCAAUUGGUUUGUCUCUUUCAUUGUUUGGUAUUUGGCUGAAAAUCGAAGCCUGGUUCUGGUGAUGAAGGUGAUGCGAUGAUGCGAAGUAUGGUUUGGUUUUUGGUUGAAAAUCGAAGCUUUUUUUUUUGUUUUUGAUUGAAAAUCGAAGCCUUCUUUCAGUUUUUGGCUGAAAAUCGAAGCCUGGUUUUGAUGGGCACCAAAGCUCGACUGCUGUUGGUUCACCUGUGAAGGUGAGGGGUGAGUAGUAACUAGUAGCAGAUUGAGAGAUGGGUAAGCUUGUAUCACAAACAAGCAUCAAAUGGGAAGGAGAUUUGUUUCACCUAUUCCUUUUCCCCCAUCAACUCUCAGAAAUCACUCAAAUGAUUCACUCUGUUGAUCUCUUGGCUGGCUCUUGGGGCACUGUUGGUUCCAUCAUUUUAUGGACAUACAUGUUUGGUGGAGCAAAGAGCGUUUCGAAAGAGAUAGUCGAAGCGAUCGAUAUGAAGAAGAAAUCGAUAACGCACCAAGGUGAUUGAAGGAGAUGCUUUGAAAUUAUACAGUGAAUUCAAAUUUAUAUGCGACGUAGAGAGCGAUGGAGAUAAAGAAGACAAUGUGAUUAGAUACAGCGUGGAGUACGAAAAAAGGAGUGAUGAAGCGCCGGAACCCACCGUGUUCAUGGACUUGCUCCUUAACUUCUUCAAAGAUGUUGAGUGCAGCCGCCGCCGAGUGCCCAAUUAACACCGCCGCCGCCACCUUGUCUUUCUCAUUAUAUAUCAUUAUGAUUGAUAAAUAAGGCGAGUUAUGAAUCUCGCAUGCCACCUAAUAACUUUAUGUGUACCACUGUCUAAUUAAUUUUAACUAGUACUUUAAUUAGUCGA
Molecule: long non-coding RNA, 1308 nt
Organism: Salvia miltiorrhiza (redroot sage)
Lineage: Eukaryota; Viridiplantae; Streptophyta; Magnoliopsida; Lamiales; Lamiaceae
Exons: 2
Source: RefSeq, a predicted model, not a curated record